UGAAGCGGCAAAAGCUCAAAUUUGAAAUCUGCGCUCUUUCAGAGUCCGAGUUGUAAUUUGAAGAAGGUAUCUUUGGGUCUGGCUCUUGUCUAUGUUUCUUGGAACAGAACGUCACAGAGGGUGAGAAUCCCGUGCGAUGAGAUGAUCCAGGCCUAUGUAAAGUUCCUUCGAAGAGUCGAGUUGUUUGGGAAUGCAGCUCUAAGUGGGUGGUAAAUUCCAUCUAAAGCUAAAUAUUGGCGAGAGACCGAUAGCGAACAAGUACAGUGAUGGAAAGAUGAAAAGAACUUUGAAAAGAGAGUGAAAAAGUACGUGAAAUUGUUGAAAGGGAAGGGCUUGAGAUCAGACUUGGUAUUUUGUAUGUUACUUCUUCGGGGGUGGCCUCUACAGUUUAUCGGGCCAGCAUCAGUUUGGGCGGUAGGAGAAUUGCGUUGGAAUGUGGCACGGCUUCGGUUGUGUGUUAUAGCCUUCGUCGAUACUGCCAGCCUAGACUGAGGACUGCGGUUUAUACCUAGGAUGUUGGCAUAAUGAUCUUAAGUCGCCCGUCUUGAAACACGGACCAAGGAGUCUAACGUCUAUGCGAGUGUUUGGGUGUAAAACCCGUACGCGUAAUGAAAGUGAACGUAGGUGGGGGCCCGUAUGGGUGCACCAUCGACCGAUCCUGAUGUCUUCGGAUGGAUUUGAGUAAGAGCAUAGCUGUUGGGACCCGAAAGAUGGUGAACUAUGCCUGAAUAGGGUGAAGCCAGAGGAAACUCUGGUGGAGGCUCGUAGCGGUUCUGACGUGCAAAUCGAUCGUCGAAUUUGGGUAU
Molecule: ribosomal RNA, 806 nt
Filed under: Candida tropicalis
Lineage: Eukaryota; Fungi; Ascomycota; Pichiomycetes; Serinales; Debaryomycetaceae
Description: LSU rRNA
Rfam family: Eukaryotic large subunit ribosomal RNA
Source: RNAcentral